UGCUACAGGCUUAACACAUGCAAGUCGAGGGGCAGCAUGGUCUUAGCUUGCUAAGGCCGAUGGCGACCGGCGCACGGGUGAGUAACACGUAUCCAACCUGCCGUCUACUCUUGGACAGCCUUCUGAAAGGAAGAUUAAUACAAGAUGGCAUCAUGAGUCCGCAUGUUCACAUGAUUAAAGGUAUUCCGGUAGACGAUGGGGAUGCGUUCCAUUAGAUAGUAGGCGGGGUAACGGCCCACCUAGUCUUCGAUGGAUAGGGGUUCUGAGAGGAAGGUCCCCCACAUUGGAACUGAGACACGGUCCAAACUCCUACGGGAGGCAGCAGUGAGGAAUAUUGGUCAAUGGGCGAGAGCCUGAACCAGCCAAGUAGCGUGAAGGAUGACUGCCCUAUGGGUUGUAAACUUCUUUUAUAAAGGAAUAAAGUCGGGUAUGCAUACCCGUUUGCAUGUACUUUAUGAAUAAGGAUCGGCUAACUCCGUGCCAGCAGCCGCGGUAAUACGGAGGAUCCGAGCGUUAUCCGGAUUUAUUGGGUUUAAAGGGAGCGUAGAUGGAUGUUUAAGUCAGUUGUGAAAGUUUGCGGCUCAACCGUAAAAUUGCAGUUGAUACUGGAUAUCUUGAGUGCAGUUGAGGCAGGCGGAAUUCGUGGUGUAGCGGUGAAAUGCUUAGAUAUCACGAAGAACUCCGAUUGCGAAGGCAGCCUGCUAAGCUGCAACUGACAUUGAGGCUCGAAAGUGUGGGUAUCAAACAGGAUUAGAUACCCUGGUAGUCCACACGGUAAACGAUGAAUACUCGCUGUUUGCGAUAUACAGCAAGCGGCCAAGCGAAAGCGUUAAGUAUUCCACCUGGGGAGUACGCCGGCAACGGUGAAACUCAAAGGAAUUGACGGGGGCCCGCACAAGCGGAGGAACAUGUGGUUUAAUUCGAUGAUACGCGAGGAACCUUACCCGGGCUUAAAUUGCAGAUGAAUUACGGUGAAAGCCGUAAGCCGCAAGGCAUCUGUGAAGGUGCUGCAUGGUUGUCGUCAGCUCGUGCCGUGAGGUGUCGGCUUAAGUGCCAUAACGAGCGCAACCCUUGUUGUCAGUUACUAACAGGUUCUGCUGAGGACUCUGACAAGACUGCCAUCGUAAGAUGUGAGGAAGGUGGGGAUGACGUCAAAUCAGCACGGCCCUUACGUCCGGGGCUACACACGUGUUACAAUGGGGGGUACAGAGGGCCGCUACCACGCGAGUGGAUGCCAAUCCCAAAAACCUCUCUCAGUUCGGACUGGAGUCUGCAACCCGACUCCACGAAGCUGGAUUCGCUAGUAAUCGCGCAUCAGCCACGGCGCGGUGAAUACGUUCCCGGGCCUUGUACACACCGCCCGUCAAGCCAUGGGAGCCGGGGGUACCUGAAGUGCGUAACCGCGAGGAGCGCCCUAGGGUAAAACUGGUGACUGGGGCUAA
Molecule: ribosomal RNA, 1442 nt
Filed under: uncultured organism
Description: SSU rRNA
Rfam family: Bacterial small subunit ribosomal RNA
Source: RNAcentral